Molecule: ribosomal RNA, 253 nt
Filed under: uncultured bacterium
Lineage: Bacteria
Description: partial 16S ribosomal RNA
Rfam family: Bacterial small subunit ribosomal RNA
Source: RNAcentral
GACGGAGGAUGCAAGUGUUAUCCGGAAUCACUGGGCGUAAAGCGUCUGUAGGUGGUUUAAUAAGUCAACUGUUAAAUCUUGAGGCUCAACCUCAAAAUCGCAGUCGAAACUAUUAGGCUAGAGUAUAGUAGGGGUAAAGGGAAUUUCCAGUGGAGCGGUGAAAUGCGUAGAUAUCGCUUGGAACGCCAACGGAGAAAUCAGCAGGCUGGGGAUGUGCUGACGCUGAGACGUGAAAGCCAGGGGAGCAAACGGG